Molecule: ribosomal RNA, 440 nt
Filed under: uncultured bacterium
Lineage: Bacteria
Description: partial 16S ribosomal RNA
Rfam family: Bacterial small subunit ribosomal RNA
Source: RNAcentral
CCUACGGGUGGCAGCAGUGGGGGAUAUUGCACAAUGGGGGGAACCCUGAUGCAGCGACGCCGCGUGGGUGAAGAAGCGCCUCGGCGCGUAAAGCCCUGUCAGCAGGGAAGAAAAUGACGGUACCUGAAGAAGAAGCCCCGGCUAACUACGUGCCAGCAGCCGCGGUAAUACGUAGGGGGCAAGCGUUAUCCGGAUUUACUGGGCGUAAAGGGGGCGCAGACGGCGAUGCAAGCCAGGAGUGAAAGCCCGGGGCCCAACCCCGGGACUGCUCUUGGAACUGCGUGGCUUGAGUACAGUUGAGGUAGGCGGAAUUCGUGGUGUAGCGGUGAAAUGCUUAGAUAUCACGAAGAACCCCGAUUGCGAAGGCAGCUUACUAAACUGUGACUGACAUUGAUGCUCGAAAGUGUGGGUAUCAAACAGGAUUAGAUACCCGAGUAGUC